This 253-nucleotide ribosomal RNA is filed under the name uncultured bacterium. RNAcentral describes it as "partial 16S ribosomal RNA". It matches the Rfam family "Bacterial small subunit ribosomal RNA", at positions 524 to 776 of the family's 1533-position model. The record is from RNAcentral.
UACAGAGGGGGCAAGCGUUGUUCGGAAUUACUGGGCGUAAAGGGCGCGUAGGCGGCCUUCUAAGUCGAACGUGAAAUCCCACGGCUCAACCGUGGAACUGCUCGGUAUACUGGCGAUCUUGGGCCACUUAGGGGCUAGCGGAACAAACGGUGGAGCGGUGAAAUGCGUAGAUAUCUGGAGGAAUACCGGUGGCGAAGGCGGCAUCCUGGACCGGCAUUGACGCUGAGGAGCGAAAGCUAGGGGAGCAAACGGG